AGUGUGGUUUAGUGGUAGAAUGCUUGCCUAGCAUGCAUGAAGCCCUGGGUUCGAUUCCUCAGCACU
RNAcentral lists this transfer RNA (66 nucleotides) under Dipodomys ordii (Ord's kangaroo rat). It matches the Rfam family "tRNA". Rfam says of the family: Transfer RNA (tRNA) molecules are approximately 80 nucleotides in length. Lineage: Eukaryota; Metazoa; Chordata; Mammalia; Rodentia; Heteromyidae. The record is from Rfam by way of RNAcentral.